RNAcentral lists this long non-coding RNA (2917 nucleotides) under Homo sapiens (human). RNAcentral's name for it is "HSALNT0318346". The record is from RNAcentral. Lineage: Eukaryota; Metazoa; Chordata; Mammalia; Primates; Hominidae.
GUCAAGAAAAUAUGAAACACAAGAAAAUUCAUAGUGAUUGACAAUGGUAAGCAGAGGCUCAUGUUGAAGAGUAAGAGGAAAUAAGCCUUUAAGACACUGUAUCUGAGUUCUUAGUUUUAAGCACUGUAGAUAAGUAUGUGCUGGAUCAAGCAAAAUGGCUCACUUCCUUGAAAUAUGGGGAAAUAAAUCUGUGUAAGGAUGGCUGGUCCAGCUGGUUUCCUGCCAAUUCUUGGAUGGGUCAUCCUAGUCCAGAGUAUCAUGGAAAAUUGUUCACACAGCUUGACUGAUUGCUUUAAGGGUUUACACUUGUCUCAACUCAGAAAUCCAAGCUCUCCCAGGACUGUUCUAACGGCAGUUCUAAAAGCCUCUUUGGUGUGUUGGAGGCCAGGUAGAGGUGAAGCUUCGCAGUGCUUGGACGUAUACUCAACCAUACGGAGAAUAUCAGCCUGUAGCAGGUAAAUAAGAGCCCAGCACAGAAGAAAAGGCAGAGCUACAAGAAGACAGUGCCACAUUAUUUUCAUUGGAAUCUAUGUACGCAUCUAUGCCUGAGCCAGAAGAGGUGAAGCAAAGUUGCUGACUUCAGCCUCAAGCCGAUAAGGAGGAAAAGAGCUUGGCAGUUUAAAGAUGCUCAAUGACUGUAGGAAGAAGAUACUGGAUUUUCAAAAUAACAUUUGAUGAAAGCAAUUGCCAUGCAGUGAUGAGAACAGGUUUGGGAGGCUCAAGACCUGGUGUGACAUCCUGACUCCAAUUGGUGUAAGCUGCAUUGCUCUGCUCAAAUGAUUCAAACACUAUAAACUGCAGUUGCACAUUGGUAAUACCUACUUCAUUGGUAUGUAAGAUUUGAAAAUGUUCAUAAACCACCAAGCACUAUGUAAGCAUUAGUUAUUCUUAUUAUGACUUUUUUAUUCCUUCUAUAGGGAAAAGAGUGCUAGAAGUUAUAGCUAGGAAUUCUAGUUACUAUACAAUUCCAUAAACGAUAUUGUGAAAAAGCUUAAAUUCUAAGAUCAAAGAUAAUACUUAUUCAGUAGGGUUUAUAUGUAUGUUUAUAUAUAUAUAUAUAUUUUUACUCAGAGCAAAUAAUAUGGUCAGUAAAAUGGGUGACAAUUGUAAACACAAUGACCAUUAGUGUUGUAAAGUACAUGUCAGCCUAGGAUGUAAAAUAACUUUAUUGAAUAAAACCUUUCUAGCUACAUAAUAUCUAAAGGUUACUGUGUUAAUAUACACACACAAACACACACACAGAAAUAGCACUGAAAAUAAAAUAAAUGAAGAUGCUAUUAAGUUCAAAUGAUGAUGAAAUUGACCCCCAAGUCAUGGGAGUAGGUAAGCAGUAGAGAGCCAGUGGUCUUCUGAAGUCUGUAGCCCUGGGGCCUGACCCAGUCUCAGAUAGUCCCCUCAAUUCAAGAUAAAUUUAAAUGCAAUAGACUAUAAUCCAGGUCUACAUAUUUCCAGAUCAAGCUAUUUUCCCUUCUCCUUGCCAAGUGCAAUAACAAAGUUUGGUUCUGAAAUUCCCCAACGGACUGUUUAGCCUGGCUUUGGGCCCCCACAUAGAGUGUGACAGCAGCCAUGCAGUGAGGGCUUUCACCCCAGGGAAGGUGAUGGUAAGCGUUCAGAAGAUGUGUGCAUGAGGUAAGACAAGUCUUUGCUUCAUAAAGUGUUGUGUGUAUUGUGAGUUGUUUCACUUCUCUUUCUCCCCACAUCAAAUUAUAGUAAGGUCUAAAAGUGAAUAACAAAAAACAGACUUCACAACACAUUUCUAAAUGAUUCCUGGGAGGAAUUCCCACCCAAAUUGAGAAGCUUGGAGUUUUAAGAUGGUUGUUGCUGAGGUCUGACUCUUAAGAGCAAUCUGAGAACCCCUUUCUUUCAUCUGAACUCAGACUAUGCUCUUAGACCUAGAAAAAAAGGGGUUUCAGUGUCCAAAAGCUGAAAGGCUAUGUUGUAGACAUAUAAUGUUUCAUGGACGGCAAAGCACCUGAAGGCUGUGCCUACAUACAGACAAAGCGUGUCCCUAAUUAUAGGUUGAUAGAGGCCAAGAUUUAACUUUCCAAUCCCUCAUUAAAAUAUAAAGGCCUGUGACCUUGCCUACCAGCCAAGGAAUGUGUCUGGUCUUAGGGACAGAAACGACCUAGGAAUGGAGGCUUUUAUGUUCUUGUGGGCAGGAGGUGCAGUAGGAGAAUCAGCUACCAGGGAUGGCCCACAGCACAGUGGAGAUCUCAUGUACAGUGUUGGAAGCAGUGGCAACAGCAUUCAGGCCCUCACUAGAUUAAGUCUGCAGCUUCAUUUGUGCAGUGGUUCUGGCUUAGGAGCCUCUCCUUAUUUUUGUCCUUUGAGCCUGAUUCUCCAAUCUUCCUGGAAAUCUAUGACUCACUCCCUAUCUUUUCAGUAAGGAUUUUUUUUUUUUCUGCCUAAAGAAGCAUUCACUCGGUUGUGGUAUGGAUUGCAUGAUUAUGUCCCCUUCCAACUCAAAAAAAUACCUAUAUGUUGAAACCAUAAUGCUCAAUGGGAUGGUAUUAGAAGGUAGGGCCUUUGGGAGAUGAUUAGAUCAUACAGGUGGAGUCCUUAUAAAUGGGAUUAAUGCCCUUGUAAGGAGAAUUAUAAAGAAAUUGCUUCCUCUUUCUCUGCUCUUAGUCAUAUGAGGAGACAAGGAGAAGAUGUCCAUCUGGAAACCUUCAGGAAGUGGAUCUUCACCAGACACCAGAUCUGCUGGUACUUUGUUCUGGACUUCUCAGUCUCCAGAACUGUGAGAAAUAAGUGUCUGUUGUUUAAGCCAUUCAAUCAAUAGCAUUUUGUCAUAUCAUCCUAAACUGUCUCGUGGUGUUUGUAUUGUUUCAACCUAAAGCCCUGAAUGAUGUGAAUGGUUAACCAUUUAUAAACUACUGAAGUUGACUCAGCACAUUAUCUUGUACAUGGUGGACCA